GUCCAGGGAUGGGAAUCGAACCCAGUGUUCCGCUUACCGGGCAGAUGCCAUGUCCACUAGGCUACCCUGGU
RNAcentral lists this transfer RNA (71 nucleotides) under Cordylochernes scorpioides. RNAcentral's name for it is "tRNA-Thr". The record is from RNAcentral. Lineage: Eukaryota; Metazoa; Arthropoda; Arachnida; Pseudoscorpiones; Chernetidae.